This 468-nucleotide ribosomal RNA is filed under the name uncultured bacterium. Its description in RNAcentral is "partial 16S ribosomal RNA". It matches the Rfam family "Bacterial small subunit ribosomal RNA", at positions 28 to 507 of the family's 1533-position model. The record is from RNAcentral.
GACGAACGCUGGCGGCGUGCUUAACACAUGCAAGUCGAACGGAAAGGCCCUGCUUUUGUGGGGUGCUCGAGUGGCGAACGGGUGAGUAACACGUGAGUAACCUGCCCUGGACGUGGGGAUAACUUCAGGAAACUGGGGCUAAUACCGGAUAGGAGCUCCUGCUGCAUGGUGGGGGUUGGAAAGUUUCGGCGGUUGGGGAUUGACUCGGGGCUUAUCAUCUUGUUGGUGGGGUAGUGGCUUACCAAGGCUUUGACGGUUAGCCGGCCUGAGAGGGUGACCGGCCACAUUGGGACUGAGAUACGGCCCAGACUCCUACGGGAGGCAGCAGUGGGAAAUAUUGCCCAAUGGGCGGAAGCCUGAUGCAGCAACGCCGCGUGCGGGAUGACGGCCUUCGGGUUGUAAACCGCUUUCGCCUGUGACGAAGCGUGAGUGACGGUAAUGGGUAAAGAAGCACCGGCUAACUACGUG